Mustela lutreola (European mink) is the source of this 1582-nucleotide RNA transcript. It is a transcript of the gene named leucine rich repeat containing 28, with no coding region annotated. NCBI's taxonomy places the organism in Eukaryota, Metazoa, Chordata, Mammalia, Carnivora, Mustelidae. The transcript is spliced from 10 exons. The record is from RefSeq and is a predicted model, not a curated record.
CUCGCCCCGCCCCCCGGCACCCCGCCCCUCCCGCAGACCCUCGGCUCGCAGUUCAGCGCCGCCUGCGCCCGGAGCGCUGGCUCCGCCGGCGCCGAGAAAUGGACCAAUUUUGACAAGAUGUAGUGCUGUAGCGUGCCUGAUGGGAUAUGUUCAGUCAUGGCAUCUGAACUCUGUAAGACGAUCUCUGUGGCAAGGCUGGAAAAGCACAAGAAUUUGUUCUUAAAUUAUAGGAAUCUGCACCAUUUUCCAUUGGAGUUACUGAAAGAUGAGGGACUACAGUACUUGGAGAGGCUCUAUAUGAAAAGGAACUCCCUUACAACCUUGCCAGAAAACCUUGCUCAGAAGCUUCCAAACCUUGUGGAACUGUACCUUCACUCAAAUAACAUAGUUGUGGUUCCAGAAGCCAUUGGAUCCCUCAUAAAACUCCAGUGUUUGGAUCUUAGUGACAAUGCCUUAGAAAUUGUUUGCCCAGAAAUUGGUCGUCUGAGAGCUUUACGUCAUCUUCGAUUAGCUAAUAACCAACUGCAAUUCCUACCUCCAGAGGUUGGCGAUUUGAAGGAGCUGCAGACACUAGACAUUUCUACCAAUCGUUUGCUAAAUUUACCCGAGAGGCUUCACAUGUGCCUUUCUCUGCAGUACCUCACCGCGGACCGCAAUCGUCUAUGGUGCGUGCCGCGUCAUCUCUGCCAGCUGCCCAGCCUCAACGAGCUCUCCAUGGCUGGAAACCGUCUCGCAUUUUUGCCACUUGAUCUAGGUCGAUCUCGAGAACUACAGUACGUGUACGUGGAUAACAACAUUCACCUGAAAGGCUUACCAUCCUAUCUGUACAAUAAAGUCAUCGGGUGCAGUGGCUGUGGUGCUCCCAUUCAAGUUUCCGAGGUGAAGCUGCUUUCUUUCUCAUCGGGGCAGCUCACUGUGUUCCUCCCUGCCGAGGUGAAGGCCAUAGGGACAGAGAAUGAUCACGUCCUGCCUCUGCAAGAGUUGGCCAUGAGGAGUCUCCAUCACACCUACCACAGUUUUCUUAAAGAUUUGAACUUUCUGUCUCCAAUCUCAUUACCCAGAAGUCUCCUGGAGCUGCUGCACUGCCCCCUGGGACACUGUCACCGGUGUAGUGAGCCCAUGUUUACGAUUGUCUACCCCAAGCUCUUUCCCUUGAGAGAGACGCCGAUGGCAGGGCUGCACCAGGGGUAAUCAUGCCUAAGUGGGCACCAGGGCUUACACCUGGGCGAGGGGUGGAGACCAUGCAUGAAAGCAUUGUUAAGUCACCAGCUGUCAAGGAGGACAACAGUGAGCUUCGUGGCUUACUGCUGCUCCACCCAGUGUCUGCAGACUUUUGACCUACUGAGCUGAUAAACACCGAGAGCCCCAGGAGCCCUGCCAGCCUGACACCGCAGCCGCCUGCAGAGCGCACCCUGUUUGUGUCCAGCCUGGCGGAACAGGCCCUCACAUCCUGUCCUGUGCCAUGCUGCGGGGGGAGCUGCCGAACUCUCUGGAAAUGUCAUGAUGGAGCUUCUGAGCUGAAAUGCCUUCACCCUACCCCCCCCCCCCACCCCACGUUGGAAUAUAUCCUACCCCAAAUUAA